UACGUAGGGUGCGAGCGUUAAUCGGAAUUACUGGGCGUAAAGUGUGCGCAGGCGGUCGUUCAAGUCGCGUGUGAAAGCCCCCGGCUCAACUGGGGAGGGUCACGCGAUACUGAUCGACUCGAAGGCAGGAGAGGGUAGUGGAAUUCCCGGUGUAGUGGUGAAAUGCGUAGAUAUCGGGAGGAACACCAGUGGCGAAGGCGACUACCUGGCCUGUUCUUGACGCUGAGGAGCGAAAGCGUGGGGAGCGAACAGG
This 253-nucleotide ribosomal RNA is filed under the name uncultured bacterium. Its description in RNAcentral is "partial 16S ribosomal RNA". It matches the Rfam family "Bacterial small subunit ribosomal RNA", at positions 524 to 776 of the family's 1533-position model. The record is from RNAcentral.